This 80-nucleotide transfer RNA is filed under the name Mesorhizobium sp. WSM4906. RNAcentral's name for it is "tRNA-Thr". The record is from RNAcentral. Lineage: Bacteria; Pseudomonadati; Pseudomonadota; Alphaproteobacteria; Hyphomicrobiales; Phyllobacteriaceae.
GGCAGCAGUGGUAGAGCACUCCCCUAGUACGGGAGUGCUCAUGCGCUGGGGGCUUUCGAAGAACGCCAGCGCCGCCGCCA